RNAcentral lists this long non-coding RNA (282 nucleotides) under Elaeis guineensis (African oil palm). RNAcentral's name for it is "long non-coding RNA (EGUI_LNC069491)". Lineage: Eukaryota; Viridiplantae; Streptophyta; Magnoliopsida; Arecales; Arecaceae. The record is from RNAcentral.
CGUUGACGUAGUUUGUAAUCCCUCAUCGGUUCUUGCUUUGAGUCGUCGUUCACCGAACUUCUUUUGUCUUCCGUCUUGUUCAUUACUGACGUAGUUUGAAGGUUCCUGAUCGCCGCCAUAUCGAUUUGCCCUUAGGGACUAGAGAUUUUCAACAAGGAUUUUCUCUCUCAUCGAGACGAGGUCCCUUGUGCCUUUGAUGUAGUUCAUUUUUCACCUAUCACCAGUGUAGUUCGUCGCUUUUUCUUUUCAUCUCCCCUUUUCUUCUGUGUUUGAGUGAGGAUC